UCCAAAGUCCUGAGUCCCAAGGCUCAGGCUCUGAGCCUGUUCGCCCUGGGACUGCCCUCUGAAAACAGGCUGAGGGGGCAUCUUGAGAAAAUUUUCAAAAGUUCUUCUGAAGUAAAACAAAACCAGCUAUCCAAAAAAGGUGCUCGUGCUCGGCAGAUGUGAGAUGAGCCACGGAAAGCAGACUGCGCCGGGGACCCCGUGACCAGCCUCUGUGCACAGGCAUAAAGGCACUCACUAGCUGUCAGAUGAACCAAAAUGAGAUGUCAGUCUUCUCUGUGUUCUACUUUCUGGCCUGUACAUCAUCUCUUUAGGUCUCAAGUUUUUAAUCUGUGAAAACACAUCCAAUUGAUCCUCAUAGUAUAACUUCAAGACAUACAUGAGUUAACACACCUGCAGACCACACAGUAGGUCCGAGGACCUUGGAAAGUGCUGAUGAACUCAAGAGAGGGAGAGCAAGAGAAACAGCAGCUCCCUGGGCAAGAGGACGCUAAGCAUUCUACAACCCCAAUUACUCCAAGGACCUUAACAAACAGCAGCAAUGAUAAAUAACAUAGAUGAGAGACACAGUAAAUGUUAAAUUACCUGUGACAAUCAAGUCAGAAAAGUCAAGGAACCACCCAAAUAUCCACUGACGUGAAAUGUGCAGAACGGGCUCACAACAUAAAGAUACAACACAGCUGCCCAGGCCUGGGGUACGAAGGGGAACGAGCAGGUGCGAGUCAACAGGUAUGAAGCUUCUUUGGGGGGGGGUGAUAAAAAUCUGAAAUUGACUCUGGUGAUGCAUGUACAACUUUGUGAAUGUACUAAAAGCCACUCAACUGUAAACUUUACAUGGGUGAAUUAUAUGGUAUGUGAAUUGUAUUUCAA
Molecule: long non-coding RNA, 867 nt
Organism: Lemur catta (Ring-tailed lemur)
Lineage: Eukaryota; Metazoa; Chordata; Mammalia; Primates; Lemuridae
Exons: 3
Source: RefSeq, a predicted model, not a curated record